RNAcentral lists this ribosomal RNA (497 nucleotides) under uncultured bacterium. Its description in RNAcentral is "partial 16S ribosomal RNA". It matches the Rfam family "Bacterial small subunit ribosomal RNA", at positions 28 to 507 of the family's 1533-position model. The record is from RNAcentral.
GAUGAACGCUGGCGGCGUGCCUAAUACAUGCAAGUCGAGCGAACAGACGAGGAGCUUGCUCCUCUGACGUUAGCGGCGGACGGGUGAGUAACACGUGGAUAACCUACCUAUAAGACUGGGAUAACUUCGGGAAACCGGAGCUAAUACCGGAUAAUAUAUUGAACCGCAUGGUUCAAUAGUGAAAGACGGUUUUGCUGUCACUUGUAGAUGGAUCCGCGCCGCAUUAGCUAGUUGGUAAGGUAACGGCUUACCAAGGCAACGAUGCGUAGCCGACCUGAGAGGGUGAUCGGCCACACUGGAACUGAGACACGGUCCAGACUCCUACGGGAGGCAGCAGUAGGGAAUCUUCCGCAAUGGGCGAAAGCCUGACGGGGCAACGCCGCGUGAGUGAUGAAGGUCUUCGGAUCGUAAAACUCUGUUAUUAGGGAAGAACAAAUGUGUAAGUAACUAUGCACGUCUUGACGGUACCUAAUCAGAAAGCCACGGCUAACUACGUG